GAUCAUCGAUCCCUUCAGACCGGAGCAAUCGAUAGAUCGGCGCAGGCGCACUGUGUGGUGACGCUGGUGAACGGCCCAGACAGACACAAAAUGCUGGAGUAACUCAGUCAGCGGGACAGGCAGCGUCUCUGGAGAGAAGGAAUGGGUGACGUUUGCAUAUCAUACUGGUUAUUACUUUGUUGAAUACUGCAGGAAACCUCCAGGGCAAACCAAUGAAAGCGGUGAUGCAACAGAGCAACAGUUUCUGUGGACAAACACAAAAGGCUGCAGUAAUUCAGCGGAUGUAUUGCAUUAUGUGUGAACUAAAAAUUAGCAUAUACGAGCGUUCAUUUUUAGCUCAUCGCAUUGCAACAGAAACUAACGAAGAGAUCGUGGUGCCCCUGAGCUUCCUGCCCUUGAAGGAUAGAAUGUGAAGUCAAUGUGCACAUACUGUAUGUGCAAAGCAAGCAAAAUAUCAAUCAAAUAAAGACUUGCAUUAUUUUAAAGUUGCAUGUUGAGCUCAGAACUUUGAGAAAGUACUUCAAAUGAAUCGUGCCAGUGUUAAAAUGUUCCAAUUGUUUAUUUGGUGAAAAUAUUUUUGAUGUGUUUGAUAUGAAUAAUUAAACAAUCUCUCUUGAUACAAA
This is a long non-coding RNA of Amblyraja radiata (thorny skate), 623 nucleotides long. RefSeq lists it as uncharacterized. The transcript is spliced from 2 exons. NCBI's taxonomy places the organism in Eukaryota, Metazoa, Chordata, Chondrichthyes, Rajiformes, Rajidae. The record is from RefSeq and is a predicted model, not a curated record.